This 495-nucleotide ribosomal RNA is filed under the name uncultured bacterium. RNAcentral describes it as "bacterial SSU rRNA". It matches the Rfam family "Bacterial small subunit ribosomal RNA", at positions 903 to 1397 of the family's 1533-position model. The record is from RNAcentral.
AAAGGAAUUGACGGGGGCCCGCACAAGCAGUGGAGUAUGUGGUUUAAUUCGAAGAUACGCGAAAAACCUUACCAGAACUUGACAUCCUGCGAAUCCCUUGGAAGCAAGGGAGUGCCGUUUACGGAGCGCAGUGACAGGUGGUGCAUGGUUGUCGUCAGCUCGUGUCGUGAGAUGUUGGGUUAAGUCCCGCAACGAGCGCAACCCUUAUUGCUAGUUGCCAUCAUUAAGUUGGGCACUCUAGCGAGACUGCCGUUGAUAAAACGGAGGAAGGUGGGGACGAUGUCAAAUCAUCAUGCCCCUUAUGUUCUGGGCUACACACGUACUACAAUGGGAAAUACAACGGGAAGCCAAGCAGCGAUGCGGAGCAAAUCCCUAAAAACUUCCCUCAGUUCGGAUUGGAGUCUGCAACUCGGCUCCAUGAAGCUGGAAUUGCUAGUAAUCGCGAAUCAGCAUGUCGCGGUGAAUACGUUCCCGGGCCUUGUACACACCGCCCGU